Molecule: long non-coding RNA, 467 nt
Organism: Pseudoliparis swirei
Lineage: Eukaryota; Metazoa; Chordata; Actinopteri; Perciformes; Liparidae
Exons: 6
Source: RefSeq, a predicted model, not a curated record
UCUUCAAAGCUUCCCCGAGGAGGCCACCGCGGCAAUCCGCCACCUCUGGUUCCUCCUGAAGCAGCAGCAGCUCGACCUGACUGCUCAUGGCGCUCCGUGUAGGAUGCAGGAAUGGGAGCACGUGGAAGGGUGGGACAUGAAGAUUACAUCACCUGAAGGUGACCCUCAUGGCUGACUCAAGUGACUGGAUGAGAUCGUCUCACUGAAAGGAAUCAAUCUGGGCUCGACUGGUGGCCUUGCCCAAUGGACUGUAAUGUCUCCCUGGUUGGAAGAGGCUUUUGCAGCCCAGCCUAAAGUCUUCAGUUGAAGGUGUCUGGGGCCAGCUGGAAGAGGCAACGGUGACUGACUGCUGUGCAGUAUGACAGUCUGAUGGUGUGGGACACACUGCACCAAGAAGAUGAAGUUUAACUCGUGUGGUCAGAGUUGAGUGUGCUGUGAUUGGAAUGAAAUAAAACACCUUCCGACUA